CCUACGGGAGGCAGCAGUGAGGAAUAUUGGUCAAUGGACGAGAGUCUGAACCCGCCAAGUAGCGUGAAGGAUGACUGCCCUAUGGGUUGUAAACUUCUUUUAUAUGGGAAUAAAACGUUCCACGUGUGGGAUUUUGUAUGUACCAUAUGAAUAAGGAUCGGCUAACUCCGUGCCAGCAGCCGCGGUAAUACGGAGGAUCCGAGCGUUAUCCGGAUUUAUUGGGUUUAAAGGGAGCGUAGGUGGAUUGUUAAGUCAGUUGUGAAAGUUUGCGGCUCAACCGUAAAAUUGCAGUUGAAACUGGCAGUCUUGAGUACAGUAGAGGUGGGCGGAAUUCGUGGUGUAGCGGUGAAAUGCUUAGAUAUCACGAAGAACUCCGAUUGCGAAGGCAGUUCACUGGACUGCAACUGACACUGAGGCUCGAAAGUGUGGGUAUCAAACAGGAUUAGAUACCAGAGUAGUC
Molecule: ribosomal RNA, 460 nt
Filed under: uncultured bacterium
Lineage: Bacteria
Description: partial 16S ribosomal RNA
Rfam family: Bacterial small subunit ribosomal RNA
Source: RNAcentral